GCAAAAUAAGAAAACAGACAGUCUAUAGCCCAACAUAUUCCGGAAGUGUACACAGCAGAAUCCCCCAGCGCUGAGAACUGAUAUGGUGAAAUGGAAAGCGGAUAAGAUGGCGUUCCAUAAAGACCGCAUUUUCAUUCACGUGCACGCAUUGAGGCCUGUGCAUUGAUGGAUCUACGACGUUGAACAAACAUGGUGAAUGCAGAUGUACAACAUGGCGUCCGCGACUCCACUCCGCUGGACUCGACUGGACUCGGCUCAGCGGCAGCAUCACGUCACCCUGUCCUCUAACCUGCCACGAGGGCCUCGACGAGAACCAAAGAGCUCGGCGUGUGGAGAGCCAGUCAGCUUGUAACAUCAUCAGCUCAUUAUGUCUGGAGUUGGUGCACUGGGGAAAAUAUUGCUUAUGGGAAGCAGUGAUCAUAAAGGCUGACCAUGUUGUAGUCAUAGCAACUCGUAAAGUAAUACCUG
Molecule: long non-coding RNA, 468 nt
Organism: Alosa sapidissima (American shad)
Lineage: Eukaryota; Metazoa; Chordata; Actinopteri; Clupeiformes; Clupeidae
Exons: 4
Source: RefSeq, a predicted model, not a curated record